RNAcentral lists this ribosomal RNA (497 nucleotides) under uncultured bacterium. Its description in RNAcentral is "partial 16S ribosomal RNA". It matches the Rfam family "Bacterial small subunit ribosomal RNA", at positions 28 to 523 of the family's 1533-position model. The record is from RNAcentral.
GAUGAACGCUGGCGGCGUGCUUAACACAUGCAAGUCGAACGAAGCAUUUAGAACGGAUUACUUCGGUUUGAAGUUCUUUAUGACUGAGUGGCGGACGGGUGAGUAACGCGUGGGUAACCUGCCUUGUACUGGGGGAUAGCAGCUGGAAACGGCUGGUAAUACCGCAUAAGCGCACAAUGUUGCAUGACAUGGUGUGAAAAACUCCGGUGGUAUAAGAUGGACCCGCGUCUGAUUAGCUAGUUGGUGAGAUAACAGCCCACCAAGGCGACGAUCAGUAGCAGACCUGAGAGGGUGACCGGCCACAUUGGGACUGAGACACGGCCCAGACUCCUACGGGAGGCAGCAGUGGGGAAUAUUGCACAAUGGAGGAAACUCUGAUGCAGCGACGCCGCGUGAGUGAAGAAGUAAUUCGUUAUGUAAAGCUCUAUCAGCAGGGAAGAUAGUGACGGUACCUAACCAGAAAGCCACGGCUAACUACGUGCCAGCCGCCGCCGUAA